RNAcentral lists this ribosomal RNA (270 nucleotides) under uncultured archaeon. RNAcentral describes it as "partial 16S ribosomal RNA". It matches the Rfam family "Archaeal small subunit ribosomal RNA", at positions 477 to 747 of the family's 1478-position model. The record is from RNAcentral.
CAGCACCUCAAGUGGUCAGGAUGAUUAUUGGGCCUAAAGCAUCCGUAGCCGGCUCUGUAAGUUUUCGGUUAAAUCUGUAUGCUCAACAUACAGGCUGCCGGGAAUACUGCAGAGCUAGGGAGUGGGAGAGGUAGACGGUACUCGGUAGGAAGGGGAAAAAUCCUUUGAUCUAUUGAUGACCACCUGUGGCGAAGGCGGUCUACCAGAACACGUCCGACGGUGAGGGAUGAAAGCUGGGGGAGCAAACCGGAUUAGAUACCCGAGUAGUCC